RNAcentral lists this long non-coding RNA (226 nucleotides) under Elaeis guineensis (African oil palm). Its description in RNAcentral is "long non-coding RNA (EGUI_LNC063966)". Lineage: Eukaryota; Viridiplantae; Streptophyta; Magnoliopsida; Arecales; Arecaceae. The record is from RNAcentral.
AUCUAGUUCUAUAACUAACAUUAGAGCCAGAAUUUAUCUUAAACAUCUACAGCAUGCUCAGCCUCUAUUGUUCGAUUACUCAGAACCCUUUCGAUAUAUCGAAUAAGAAUACACCCUCGAAUCGCAACUCAAAAUCUCCUCCAAAGAUCAAGAAUAAAUCUUUAGUCCUUCUUAAGUACUUAAGGAUAUUCUUCACAGUAAUCCAGUGUUCCUCUCCUAAUUUCGA